GAUGAACGCUAGCGGCAGGCUUAAUACAUGCAAGUCGAGGGGCAGCAGGACUGUAGCACUACAGUUGCUGGCGACCGGCAAACGGGUGCGGAACACGUACGCAACCUACCCAAAACUGGGGGAUAGCCCGGGGAAACCCGGAUUAAUACCUCGUAACCUUUUUAAGUGGCAUCACUUGAUAAGUAUAGCUCCGGCGGUUUUGGAUGGGCGUGCGCCUGAUUAGGUAGUUGGUGCGGGUAACGGCCCACCAAGCCUGCGAUCAGUAACUGGUGUGAGAGCACGACCAGUCACACGGGCACUGAGACACGGGCCCGACUCCUACGGGAGGCAGCAGUAAGGAAUAUUGGUCAAUGGACGCAAGUCUGAACCAGCCAUGCCGCGUGUAGGAUGAAGGUCCUCUGGAUUGUAAACUUCUUUUAUGGGGGACGAAACCCGGAUAUUCUUAUCCGAUUGACGGUACCUCAGGAAUAAGCACCGGCUAACUCCGUG
Molecule: ribosomal RNA, 489 nt
Filed under: uncultured bacterium
Lineage: Bacteria
Description: partial 16S ribosomal RNA
Rfam family: Bacterial small subunit ribosomal RNA
Source: RNAcentral